GAAGGUAUAGCUCAGUGGUAGAGUGUGUGCUUAGCAUGCAUCCGUUCCUGGGUUCAAUCCUCAGUCACUCCA
Molecule: transfer RNA, 72 nt
Filed under: Camelus bactrianus (Bactrian camel)
Lineage: Eukaryota; Metazoa; Chordata; Mammalia; Artiodactyla; Camelidae
Also listed under: 2 other names
Rfam family: tRNA
About the family: Transfer RNA (tRNA) molecules are approximately 80 nucleotides in length. Their secondary structure includes four short double-helical elements and three loops (D, anti-codon, and T loops). Further hydrogen bonds mediate the characteristic L-shaped molecular structure. tRNAs have two regions of fundamental functional importance: the anti-codon, which is responsible for specific mRNA codon recognition, and the 3' end, to which the tRNAs corresponding amino acid is attached (by aminoacyl-tRNA synthetases). tRNAs cope with the degeneracy of the genetic code in two manners: having more than one tRNA (with a specific anti-codon) for a particular amino acid; and 'wobble' base-pairing, i.e. permitting non-standard base-pairing at the 3rd anti-codon position.
Source: Rfam by way of RNAcentral